This 475-nucleotide ribosomal RNA is filed under the name Salmonella enterica subsp. enterica serovar Limete. Its description in RNAcentral is "partial 23S ribosomal RNA". It matches the Rfam family "Bacterial large subunit ribosomal RNA", at positions 124 to 596 of the family's 2925-position model. Lineage: Bacteria; Pseudomonadati; Pseudomonadota; Gammaproteobacteria; Enterobacterales; Enterobacteriaceae. The record is from RNAcentral.
AAACCCAGUGUGAUUCGUCACACUAUCAUUAACUGAAUCCAUAGGUUAAUGAGGCGAACCGGGGGAACUGAAACAUCUAAGUAUCCCGAGGAAAAGAAAUCAACCGAGAUUCCCCCAGUAGCGGCGAGCGAACGGGGAGGAGCCCAGAGCCUGAAUCAGCAUGUGUGUUAGUGGAAGCGUCUGGAAAGGCGCGCGAUACAGGGUGACAGCCCCGUACACAAAAGCGCAUGUGCUGUGAGCUCGAUGAGUAGGGCGGGACACGUGGUAUCCUGUCUGAAUAUGGGGGGACCAUCCUCCAAGGCUAAAUACUCCUGACUGACCGAUAGUGAACCAGUACCGUGAGGGAAAGGCGAAAAGAACCCCGGCGAGGGGAGUGAAAAAGAACCUGAAACCGUGUACGUACAAGCAGUGGGAGCCCCACCACCAAAGCAUUCUCUGGUGUUGAAGGCCCUGCAAAGCAGCAUCGCGGUGGCGG